GGUUAUGGCUCAGCAGUAGAGUGCUUGCCUAGCAUGUGUGGGGUGCUGGGUUCGAUCCUCAGCACCA
Molecule: transfer RNA, 67 nt
Filed under: Marmota monax (woodchuck)
Lineage: Eukaryota; Metazoa; Chordata; Mammalia; Rodentia; Sciuridae
Description: tRNA.Ala
Source: RNAcentral